This 303-nucleotide ribosomal RNA is filed under the name uncultured bacterium. Its description in RNAcentral is "partial 16S ribosomal RNA". It matches the Rfam family "Bacterial small subunit ribosomal RNA", at positions 507 to 807 of the family's 1533-position model. The record is from RNAcentral.
AGCAGUCGCCGCGGUAAUACGUAGGGCGCAAGCGUUAUCCGGAAUUAUUGGGCGUAAAGAGCUCGUAGGCGGUUUGUCGCGUCUGCCGUGAAAGUCCGGGGCUCAACCCCGGAUCUGCGGUGGGUACGGGCAGACUAGAGUGAUGUAGGGGAGACUGGAAUUCCUGGUGUAGCGGUGAAAUGCGCAGAUAUCAGGAGGAACACCGAUGGCGAAGGCAGGUCUCUGGGCAUUAACUGACGCUGAGGAGCGAAAGCAUGGGGAGCGAACAGGAUUAGAUACCCCCGUAGUCCCUGUCUCUUAUAC